AUAUAUGUUUACAUAGACAGGCACAAUGACCAAGAUGACAGUUAAGACCAUUGAAAAAAGCUUGUACUCCACACAGAUUUAGAUAUAACAGAAAGAAAAGAGCCUUGAAAUCUUUUUGGAGAAAUACACACAAUGGCUGAAAGAAGAGCUCACCAGACCAGAAACCAUCCUAUUUAGUUGAUCCAGAUCAAAACCAAUCUGGGACAGAUCACCAUGCACGUCAUUAACCU
Molecule: long non-coding RNA, 230 nt
Filed under: Solanum tuberosum (potato)
Lineage: Eukaryota; Viridiplantae; Streptophyta; Magnoliopsida; Solanales; Solanaceae
Description: long non-coding RNA (STUB_LNC001096)
Source: RNAcentral